UGACACAGAGAUGCUUAGCUCCCUUGUCACCAGAAAUGUUAAGAGCUUCAGUGACACAUUGCUAAGAAAGGCCAAGUCUGCCACCUAUGCAGCCAACGUCAUUGGUUCCGGCAACAUGCAAGAAUCAUAAAUCAUGCAGCACGACAGCAGCUGCUGCCAUUCAGAAAAGCAACAACAUGGUCUGCCCGUGUGCCGGCUUACCGCCACAGAACGCGCCAAACAAUUCCAUGCAGAGACCUAUGUCUCAGGUGACCUUCUGUUUUAUAAAUAAUGUCAACACAGUAUUGAUUGCAAGAGGGUGGACACUUGUAUAGAUCACCUCAAAUCCCACAAGCAUGAAUGAUGUAAACAACAAGCCGUAGCCAGGGAAGACUCGGCCAAGGCCAAGCAGCAGGUCACGCUUGACAGUCUACCUAGCAGUACUGCGUCCAAGGGAAUGUGUGAGGACUUCAUCCUUGAUUACCUGAAAAUGUGCACUAUGUCGGACAUACCACUUGAGAAGAUUGCCAAAAUGAAGCCAUUCAUGGUCAAGCACUGCAAGUAGGGGGUGCACUACCCCAGGCUAACACCCUGAGGCAGACAUACAGACCAAGGCUGUUUGAGGGACAUUUCAACGGCCUGAAAUCCCUAGUGAAGGAUAAACCUCGCCGAUGAGACAACUGACAUCCGUGAUCACAGUAUCCUCAAUGUUGUCGCUGGCAUUCGAGCGUUGAAGUCAAGUUUCACAACAUCAUUGCUUUUGUCUCCGACUCUGCAGCAUAUUGCAAGAAGACGCAUAGAGAUGUUCUCACACCGGUGUUCUCAAAGUCUGUGCAUGUUGGCACAUAUCCUCAACCUGGCUGGGGAACGCUUCACACACUGCUACCCUGGUCACGAUGGUGAAAUCAUCGUUCUUCAAGAAGCCUGGAAGGAAGAGUCGGUACUUGGCCUACCUGGCUGAGUUCUUGCCGUCUGAACAGGUCAAGCUUCCACCAGUGCCUGUUUCAACCAGGUGGAAUUCCUGGUUUGCUGCAGUGAUAUACCGGGCUGCACAGAUACACCUGUAUCACGGCUUUUUCAGUGUGUCAGUGUUGUGUCCUUUAGCUGAGGAGAGCCAGGGCAUAGCACUCAAAAGGAUCGUGGAACUAUGUGGUCACAAGGAGAUCUACCCAGAGAUCCUGUUGCAGGUGCACUUCAUCACGGAGAACUGUCCCAGACACGUCACAAAUCUGACUUCUCUAGAGGCCACCCACGACCCCUUGGCCUGCACUGUUUACAACACCAUGGAGGAUCUGAGGGCCUACUUGAAGGCAGGCACCACUACAAACUCUUUUGUCCCAGAGUCAGACAGACUGUUGGGAAAGCUGAAGGGCCAGGAGAAGACCAAGGUAAUGAAGGCCCUUUAAGAAGCUGGUGAAGCACUUUGAUGACUAC
This is a long non-coding RNA of Clupea harengus (Atlantic herring), 1413 nucleotides long. NCBI's taxonomy places the organism in Eukaryota, Metazoa, Chordata, Actinopteri, Clupeiformes, Clupeidae. The record is from Ensembl.